RNAcentral lists this transfer RNA (84 nucleotides) under uncultured Acidimicrobium sp. RNAcentral's name for it is "tRNA-Leu". It matches the Rfam family "tRNA". From Rfam's summary of the family: Transfer RNA (tRNA) molecules are approximately 80 nucleotides in length. Their secondary structure includes four short double-helical elements and three loops (D, anti-codon, and T loops). Lineage: Bacteria; Bacillati; Actinomycetota; Acidimicrobiia; Acidimicrobiales; Acidimicrobiaceae. RNAcentral also lists the same sequence under 1 other name. The record is from RNAcentral.
GCCCGAGUGGCGGAAUGGCAGACGCGACGGACUCAAAAUCCGUUGUCCGAAAGGGCGUGUGGGUUCGACUCCCACCUCGGGCAC